This 1230-nucleotide ribosomal RNA is filed under the name Enterococcus faecium. RNAcentral describes it as "bacterial SSU rRNA". It matches the Rfam family "Bacterial small subunit ribosomal RNA", at positions 24 to 1226 of the family's 1533-position model. The record is from RNAcentral. Lineage: Bacteria; Bacillati; Bacillota; Bacilli; Lactobacillales; Enterococcaceae.
UCAGGACGAACGCUGGCGGCGUGCCUAAUACAUGCAAGUCGAACGCUUCUUUUUCCACCGGAGCUUGCUCCACCGGAAAAAGAGGAGUGGCGAACGGGUGAGUAACACGUGGGUAACCUGCCCAUCAGAAGGGGAUAACACUUGGAAACAGGUGCUAAUACCGUAUAACAAUCGAAACCGCAUGGUUUUGAUUUGAAAGGCGCUUUCGGGUGUCGCUGAUGGAUGGACCCGCGGUGCAUUAGCUAGUUGGUGAGGUAACGGCUCACCAAGGCCACGAUGCAUAGCCGACCUGAGAGGGUGAUCGGCCACAUUGGGACUGAGACACGGCCCAAACUCCUACGGGAGGCAGCAGUAGGGAAUCUUCGGCAAUGGACGAAAGUCUGACCGAGCAACGCCGCGUGAGUGAAGAAGGUUUUCGGAUCGUAAAACUCUGUUGUUAGAGAAGAACAAGGAUGAGAGUAACUGUUCAUCCCUUGACGGUAUCUAACCAGAAAGCCACGGCUAACUACGUGCCAGCAGCCGCGGUAAUACGUAGGUGGCAAGCGUUGUCCGGAUUUAUUGGGCGUAAAGCGAGCGCAGGCGGUUUCUUAAGUCUGAUGUGAAAGCCCCCGGCUCAACCGGGGAGGGUCAUUGGAAACUGGGAGACUUGAGUGCAGAAGAGGAGAGUGGAAUUCCAUGUGUAGCGGUGAAAUGCGUAGAUAUAUGGAGGAACACCAGUGGCGAAGGCGGCUCUCUGGUCUGUAACUGACGCUGAGGCUCGAAAGCGUGGGGAGCAAACAGGAUUAGAUACCCUGGUAGUCCACGCCGUAAACGAUGAGUGCUAAGUGUUGGAGGGUUUCCGCCCUUCAGUGCUGCAGCUAACGCAUUAAGCACUCCGCCUGGGGAGUACGACCGCAAGGUUGAAACUCAAAGGAAUUGACGGGGGCCCGCACAAGCGGUGGAGCAUGUGGUUUAAUUCGAAGCAACGCGAAGAACCUUACCAGGUCUUGACAUCCUUUGACCACUCUAGAGAUAGAGCUUCCCCUUCGGGGGCAAAGUGACAGGUGGUGCAUGGUUGUCGUCAGCUCGUGUCGUGAGAUGUUGGGUUAAGUCCCGCAACGAGCGCAACCCUUAUUGUUAGUUGCCAUCAUUCAGUUGGGCACUCUAGCAAGACUGCCGGUGACAAACCGGAGGAAGGUGGGGAUGACGUCAAAUCAUCAUGCCCCUUAUGACCUGGGCUACACACGUGCU